RNAcentral lists this ribosomal RNA (162 nucleotides) under Neogoezia breedlovei. Its description in RNAcentral is "5.8S ribosomal RNA". It matches the Rfam family "5.8S ribosomal RNA". Rfam says of the family: 5.8S ribosomal RNA (5.8S rRNA) is a component of the large subunit of the eukaryotic ribosome. It is transcribed by RNA polymerase I as part of the 45S precursor that also contains 18S and 28S rRNA. Lineage: Eukaryota; Viridiplantae; Streptophyta; Magnoliopsida; Apiales; Apiaceae. The record is from RNAcentral.
AAAUGACUCUCGACAACGGAUAUCUCGGCUCUCGCAUCGAUGAAGAACGUAGCGAAAUGCGAUACUUGGUGUGAAUUGCAGAAUCCCGUGAACCAUCGAGUCUUUGAACGCAAGUUGCGCCUGAGGCCAUUGGCUAAGGGCACAUCUGCUUGGGUGUCACAU